RNAcentral lists this microRNA precursor (71 nucleotides) under Paramuricea clavata. The record is from RNAcentral. Lineage: Eukaryota; Metazoa; Cnidaria; Anthozoa; Malacalcyonacea; Plexauridae.
UUUGUAUUACGUGCGGAAAUUGUUACCAUUUUCUGCUCAAAAAUGGUAACAAUUUCCGCACGUAAUACAAA